CAGCAAUGAGGUUAGGUAGAAUUUUAGCAUGGAUUGUGCGCAACUAGCUAAAGAAUGUAGAAUCCACAAAUGACAAUGGCAAAUAAUCUCACUCCUGUUCUUAGGAACCUAUUGAGGUUGAUGUUUAACUGGACCUCAAGCCAUUCCUCUCACUGCCCAUCCUCCUAAGUAUGAUGUAUGGCCUGAAGAAAUAAUCAUGGUGGGAACACAGAAAAUUUUCAUCAAAGGAGCAAGAAAUUCUUCAUAACUUCAACACAACAUGGCCUUUGGGAACAGAAUAAAACACAAAUAAGGAAAGGCGGAAAA
Rattus norvegicus (Norway rat) is the source of this 306-nucleotide non-coding RNA. NCBI's taxonomy places the organism in Eukaryota, Metazoa, Chordata, Mammalia, Rodentia, Muridae. The record is from RefSeq and is a predicted model, not a curated record.